AACGAACGCUGGCGGCAUGCCUAAUACAUGCAAGUCGAACGAGAUCUUCGGAUCUAGUGGCGCACGGGUGCGUAACGCGUGGGAAUCUGCCCUUGGGUUCGGAAUAACUUCUGGAAACGGAAGCUAAUACCGGAUGAUGACGUAAGUCCAAAGAUUUAUCGCCCAAGGAUGAGCCCGCGUAGGAUUAGCUAGUUGGUGGGGUAAAGGCCCACCAAGGCGACGAUCCUUAGCUGGUCUGAGAGGAUGAUCAGCCACACUGGGACUGAGACACGGCCCAGACUCCUACGGGAGGCAGCAGUAGGGAAUAUUGGACAAUGGGCGAAAGCCUGAUCCAGCAAUGCCGCGUGAGUGAUGAAGGCCUUAGGGUUGUAAAGCUCUUUUACCCGGGAUGAUAAUGACAGUACCGGGAGAAUAAGCGCCGGCUAACUCCGUG
This 433-nucleotide ribosomal RNA is filed under the name uncultured bacterium. RNAcentral describes it as "partial 16S ribosomal RNA". It matches the Rfam family "Bacterial small subunit ribosomal RNA", at positions 29 to 507 of the family's 1533-position model. The record is from RNAcentral.